Molecule: ribosomal RNA, 258 nt
Filed under: uncultured bacterium
Lineage: Bacteria
Description: partial 16S ribosomal RNA
Rfam family: Bacterial small subunit ribosomal RNA
Source: RNAcentral
UACGAAGGGUGCAAGCGUUACUCGGAAUUACUGGGCGUAAAGCGUGCGUAGGCGGUUUGUUAAGUCUGAUGUGAAAGCCCUGGGCUCAACCUGGGAAUUGCAUUGGGUACUGGCAGACUAGAGUGUGGUAGGGGAGGACUGGAAUUCCUGGAUUCGUAGCGGUGGAAAUACGCAGAUAUCAGGAGGAACACCGAUGGCGAAGGCAGGUCUCUGGGCCACUACUGACGCUGAGAAGCGAAAGCAUGGGGAGCGAACAGG